GACGAACGCUGGCGGCGUGCUUAACACAUGCCAGUCGAACGGAAAGGCCCUGCUUUUGUGGGGUUCUCGAGUGGCGAACGGGUGAGUAACACGUGAGUAACCUGCCCUUGACUUUGGGAUAACUUCAGGAAACUGGGGCUAAUACCGGAUAGGAGCUCCUGCUGCAUGGGGGGGGUUGGAAAGUUUCGGCGGUUGGGGAUGGACUCGCGGCUUAUCAGCUUGUUGGUGGGGUAGUGGCUUACCAAGGCUUUGACGGGUAGCCGGCCUGAGAGGGUGACCGGGCACAUUGGGACUGAGAUACGGCCCAGACUCCUACGGGAGGCAGCAGUGGGGAAUAUUGCACAAUGGGCGGAAGCCUGAUGCAGCAGCGCCGCGUGCGGGAUGACGGCCUUCGGGUUGUAAACCGCUUUCGCCUGUGACGAAGCGUGAGUGACGGUAAUGGGUAAAGAAGCACCGGCUAACUACGUG
This 468-nucleotide ribosomal RNA is filed under the name uncultured bacterium. Its description in RNAcentral is "partial 16S ribosomal RNA". It matches the Rfam family "Bacterial small subunit ribosomal RNA", at positions 28 to 507 of the family's 1533-position model. The record is from RNAcentral.